Molecule: ribosomal RNA, 160 nt
Filed under: uncultured bacterium
Lineage: Bacteria
Description: partial 16S ribosomal RNA
Rfam family: Bacterial small subunit ribosomal RNA
Source: RNAcentral
UGGGGAAUAUUGGACAAUGGGCGCAAGCCUGAUCCAGCAAUGCCGCGUGUGUGAAGAAGGCCUGCGGGUUGUAAAGCACUUUAAGCAGGAAAGAAGGGUGGGGUGUUAAUACCAUCUCACAUUGACGUUACCUGCAGAAUAAGCACCGGCUAACUCCGUG